This 683-nucleotide ribosomal RNA is filed under the name uncultured Bacteroidales bacterium. RNAcentral's name for it is "bacterial SSU rRNA". It matches the Rfam family "Bacterial small subunit ribosomal RNA", at positions 75 to 755 of the family's 1533-position model. Lineage: Bacteria; Pseudomonadati; Bacteroidota; Bacteroidia; Bacteroidales. The record is from RNAcentral.
UUGCUAAGGCUGAUGGCGACCGGCGCACGGGUGAGUAACACGUAUCCAACCUGCCGUCUACUCUUGGCCAGCCUUCUGAAAGGAAGAUUAAUCCAGGAUGGCAUCAUGAGUUCACAUGUCCGCAUGAUUAAAGGUAUUUUCCGGUAGACGAUGGGGAUGCGUUCCAUUAGAUAGUAGGCGGGGUAACGGCCCACCUAGUCAACGAUGGAUAGGGGUUCUGAGAGGAAGGUCCCCCACAUUGGAACUGAGACACGGUCCAAACUCCUACGGGAGGCAGCAGUGAGGAAUAUUGGUCAAUGGGCGAUGGCCUGAACCAGCCAAGUAGCGUGAAGGAUGACUGCCCUAUGGGUUGUAAACUUCUUUUAUAAAGGAAUAAAGUCGGGUAUGCAUACCCGUUUGCAUGUACUUUAUGAAUAAGGAUCGGCUAACUCCGUGCCAGCAGCCGCGGUAAUACGGAGGAUCCGAGCGUUAUCCGGAUUUAUUGGGUUUAAAGGGAGCGUAGAUGGAUGUUUAAGUCAGUUGUGAAAGUUUGCGGCUCAACCGUAAAAUUGCAGUUGAUACUGGAUGUCUUGAGUGCAGUUGAGGCAGGCGGAAUUCGUGGUGUAGCGGUGAAAUGCUUAGAUAUCACGAAGAACUCCGAUUGCGAAGGCAGCCUGCUAAGCUGCAACUGACAUUGAGGCUCG